This 460-nucleotide ribosomal RNA is filed under the name uncultured bacterium. RNAcentral's name for it is "partial 16S ribosomal RNA". It matches the Rfam family "Bacterial small subunit ribosomal RNA", at positions 338 to 795 of the family's 1533-position model. The record is from RNAcentral.
CCUACGGGUGGCAGCAGUGAGGAAUCUUGGUCAAUGGACGCAAGUCUGAACCAGCCAUGCCGCGUGCAGGAAGACGGCUCUAUGAGUUGUAAACUGCUUUUGUACGAGGGUAAACGCAGAUACGCGUAUCUGUCUGAAAGUAUCGUACGAAUAAGGAUCGGCUAACUACGUGCCAGCAGCCGCGGUAAUACGGAGGAUUCAAGCGUUAUCCGGAUUUAAUGGGUUUAAAGGGUGCGUAGGCGGUCGGAUAAGUUAGAGGUGAAGUCCCGAGGCUCAACUUCGGAAUUGCCUCGGAUACUGUGCGGCUAGAGAGUAGUUGCGGUAGGCGGAAUGUAUGGUGUAGCGGUGAAAUGCUUAGAGAUCAUACAGAACACCGAUUGCGAAGGCAGCUUACCAAGCUACUUCUGACGUUGAGGCACGAAAGCGUGGGGAGCAAACAGGAUUAGAUACCCCUGUAGUC